This 73-nucleotide transfer RNA is filed under the name Paramuricea clavata. It matches the Rfam family "tRNA". Rfam says of the family: Transfer RNA (tRNA) molecules are approximately 80 nucleotides in length. Their secondary structure includes four short double-helical elements and three loops (D, anti-codon, and T loops). Further hydrogen bonds mediate the characteristic L-shaped molecular structure. tRNAs have two regions of fundamental functional importance: the anti-codon, which is responsible for specific mRNA codon recognition, and the 3' end, to which the tRNAs corresponding amino acid is attached (by aminoacyl-tRNA synthetases). tRNAs cope with the degeneracy of the genetic code in two manners: having more than one tRNA (with a specific anti-codon) for a particular amino acid; and 'wobble' base-pairing, i.e. permitting non-standard base-pairing at the 3rd anti-codon position. Lineage: Eukaryota; Metazoa; Cnidaria; Anthozoa; Malacalcyonacea; Plexauridae. The record is from Rfam by way of RNAcentral.
GACCGCGUAGCUCAGUUGGCAGAGCAUUGGGCUAGUAUUCCAAAGGUGGUAGGUUCGAUUCCCACCGUGGCCG